RNAcentral lists this ribosomal RNA (271 nucleotides) under Ctenophora environmental sample. Its description in RNAcentral is "partial Bacterial large subunit ribosomal RNA". It matches the Rfam family "Bacterial large subunit ribosomal RNA", at positions 1424 to 1671 of the family's 2925-position model. The record is from RNAcentral. Lineage: Eukaryota; Metazoa; Ctenophora.
AACAGGUUAAUAUUCCUGUACCACCGGGUUAUUGAUGUUUCUUCGGAAACGUAAGCGAAUGGGGGGACGCAGGAGGGUAGGUCAGCCGUCGGAUGGAAGUGGCGGUUCAAGCCGGUAGGCUGAAAGGGCAGGUAAAUCCGUCCUUUCUUCAAGGCCGAGAAGUGAUGAGGAGAGACUGUGUCUCAUAAACUGACCGAUCCCAUGCUGCCUGGAAAAGCCUCUAAGCGAGAUAAUCGGGUGAUCGUACCGUAAACCGACACAGGUGGGCAGG